Molecule: unclassified non-coding RNA, 181 nt
Filed under: uncultured fungus
Lineage: Eukaryota; Fungi
Also listed under: 1 other name
Description: sequence contains ITS1, 5.8S rRNA gene
Source: RNAcentral
CCGAGUGCGGGCCCUCUGGGUCCACCCUCCCACCCGUGUCUACCGUACCUUGUUGCUUCGGCGGGCCCGCCCCCUCGGGGGCCGCCGGGGGGCAUCACGCCCCCGGGCCCGCGCCCGCCGGAGACAUCUACGUGAACCCUGUCUGAAGGUUGCCGUCUGAGUGGAUUUAUCCAAUCGUUUA